Molecule: ribosomal RNA, 399 nt
Filed under: uncultured bacterium
Lineage: Bacteria
Description: bacterial SSU rRNA
Rfam family: Bacterial small subunit ribosomal RNA
Source: RNAcentral
AUUGAACGCUGGCGGCGUGCUUAACACAUGCAAGUCGAGCGGUAAGGCCCUUUCGGGGGUACACGAGCGGCGAACGGGUGAGUAACACGUGGGUGACCUGCCCUCAGCUCUGGGAUAAGCCUGGGAAACUGGGUCUAAUACUGGAUAUGACUCCACGGUGCAUGUCGUGGGGUGGAAAGCCUUGUGCGGCUGAGGAUGGGCCCGCGGCCUAUCAGCUUGUUGGUGGGGUGAUGGCCUACCAAGGCGACGACGGGUAGCCGGCCUGAGAGGGCGACCGGCCACACUGGGACUGAGACACGGCCCAGACUCCUACGGGAGGCAGCAGUGGGGAAUCUUGCGCAAUGGGCGAAAGCCUGACGCAGCGACGCCGCGUGAGGGAUGACGGCCUCGGUGUAACCC